Non-coding RNA from Salmo salar (Atlantic salmon), 54 nucleotides. The record is from Rfam. NCBI's taxonomy places the organism in Eukaryota, Metazoa, Chordata, Actinopteri, Salmoniformes, Salmonidae.
AAAAUGAAUAACUGUAAGUCGCUCUGGAUAAGAGCGUCUGCUAAAUGACUCAAA